Molecule: RNase P RNA, 264 nt
Filed under: Bifidobacterium breve
Lineage: Bacteria; Bacillati; Actinomycetota; Actinomycetes; Bifidobacteriales; Bifidobacteriaceae
Description: RNase P RNA component class A
Rfam family: Bacterial RNase P class A
About the family: Ribonuclease P (RNase P) is a ubiquitous endoribonuclease, found in archaea, bacteria and eukarya as well as chloroplasts and mitochondria. Its best characterised activity is the generation of mature 5'-ends of tRNAs by cleaving the 5'-leader elements of precursor-tRNAs.
Source: RNAcentral
UGAGACCUCUUGAUGGCCGCGGCCGUGAUCUUCAUUGGGAUCGGCUGAGGAACUUCCGGGCUCCAUAGAGCACGAUGGCGGAUAACGUCCGCCCAGGGUGACCUGAGAGAUAGCGCACAAGCAGAUGGCGGUAAGGGCUGCUCGCCCAUGUCAUCGGGUAGGCUGCUAGAGCCUGACGGCAACGUCAGGUCGAGAUGGAUGGCCAUCCGUGCCGCGCGUUCGCGUACGGCAUGACAGAACCCGGGGUAUAAGAGGUCUCAUUUA